UGGUCAGAGAUCUUCUUACUCUUCGAUCUGUGUGAUCUUCAUGGAUUUGAUUGAAUAAUUGAUUUUACUCUGUUUGGAUUAGGGUUUUGAUGGAGCUCACUUUUGAAAGUUAUUAUUAUUUUUUUUUUUUUAUCUCUGUGUUCAGUGCUGCUACAAACUCAGAGACGGGAGAGGAAGUAGCUAUCAAGAAGAUCGGUAACGCUUUUGACAACAUCAUCGACGCCAAGAGAACCUUGAGAGAGAUUAAGCUCCUCAAGCACAUGGAUCACGAGAAUGUAUAUAUAUCAUCUUUUGAAUCUCUUCUUGUUAUAGAUAGCUAUAUAUAUUGGUUUUCCAUCCUUUUUUUUUUUUUAAUGCGCAGGUUAUUGCUGUGAAGGAUAUAAUAAGACCACCCCUGAGAGAGAACUUCAACGAUGUUUACAUUGUUUAUGAGCUCAUGGACACUGAUCUCCACCAGAUUAUACGCUCUAACCAACCCUUAACUGAUGAUCAUUGUCGGGUAUGUAUCCAUCAUCAAUCACCAUGUGUCCCUUUUUAUGUUAGAAGAUGAAGACAUAUUAUUGCUUGUGCUUAUAAGGUAGAUUUAUUCACUUCGUUUGUUCACUUCAUUGUUUAUUUGACAGUUUCAUAACUAGUUUCCGUGUUGUAGUUAUUCAUAUAUGUUCUUGUGUUGGGGUAUAUGAGGAAGCUAAGGUUGGUCAAAGUAACAGUUCGAUUUGAAUUAGUAUUGCUUGAUACUUAUAAGGUAGAUUUAUCUACAACAGCCACUUUUAUGUUUGUUCACUUUCAUCUGAUUGUUUGCCUUUCAGGAACUAAGCUCCUUGUUUAUCUCAUUAGUUUUAUGUUUUGUUUGCAGUUCUUCUUGUAUCAGUUGUUGCGUGGGCUCAAGUACGUUCAUUCAGCCAAUGUGUUACACCGAGAUUUAAAGCCCAGCAAUUUGCUCCUGAACGCAAACUGUGAUCUAAAGCUUGGGGAUUUCGGGCUUGCGAGGACCAAAUCCGAGACUGACUUCAUGACUGAGUACGUUGUUACUCGCUGGUACCGAGCUCCAGAGUUACUUCUUAACUGCUCCGAGUACACAGCAGCGAUCGAUAUCUGGUCCGUCGGUUGUAUUCUCGGUGAAACAAUGACAAGAGAGCCCUUGUUUCCGGGUAAAGAUUAUGUUCAUCAGCUUAGGCUUAUCACUGAGGUAAUCUUUACUUGUCUUAUCCAUAGAAUCACUUUUCUUUUGGUAUUAUCUGCAUUUGUUGAUGAAUCUCUGUGAAAGCACAGCUUAUAGGAUCACCUGAUGAUUCAAGCUUGGGGUUCUUAAGGAGCGACAACGCAAGGAGAUACGUUAAACAGCUUCCACAGUACCCGAGACAGAACUUUGCUGCUAGGUUCCCAAACAUGUCAGCUGGCGCAGCCGAUUUGCUUGAGAAAAUGCUCGUCUUUGAUCCAAGCAGACGCAUCACUGGUGAGUUUCGUAUAUCUCAGUUUUGUGAUUGCGUUUUAAUCUUCUAAACAUUGGUUUGUAUGUCCUGUUGUAGUUGAUGAGGCGUUGUGCCACCCAUAUUUGGCGCCGCUGCACGAUAUAAACGAGGAACCGGUGUGUGUGAGGCCGUUCAAUUUCGAUUUUGAGCAACCUUCUUUGACAGAAGAGAACAUCAAGGAGCUUAUAUAUCGUGAAACAGUCAAGUUCAAUCCUCAGUAAGGGAGAGUUAUAAGAAAGAAACUCCAUCAAAAUGCUUGUAUUUGUCUUGCUUUGUUUUUGUUAUUGAAUCUCUGAUAAUAUUUGUUUAUGUCUGUAAUAUUAAUAACAUCCUGAGAAAUUAAAACCCAAAAAAAAUGAACAACCUCUGAGCUGUGUUUGCAGAAACAUCCAUAUGCUUUCGAGUUCAAUGUACAUUGUAUUAUUCGUUUGCUUUGUUCGUACAAAAGUAGAAGCCAGAAAAGUGGGGCUUAAACUCAACCCUAAUCAAAACUGUUGCUGCCUGCUGAUCUCUAGGUAAGCUCAAGUUACCUGAAUGAGGGUGAUAGAGCUGCAUCUAUCUCCUUUCACAGGUUUCUUGUGCUUUAGAAGCUGGUUGACAGAGCAUGUAGGAGGCUAACCAUUGAUUCUACUUGCUGCUCUGUUCAGGUUGUUCGUAGAGUGCAUUUAAAGUUUCAUUCAUUAAGAGGCUGAAGAGUCCAUCCUCGACCUGCACAGCCACCUCUUCACGCUCCUCCUUCAUCCGUUUCUCGUUCCAGUCCAGUCUUUCAAUUUCUCUAGCACAUGCUUGUCUCCUCUGCUCACCUGUUCCGCAUUCAAGCUCUGAUAUUCUCUGUCCACUUAACCAUCCUUUUGCCUCUCCCACCAGUUGCUCCUCAAAGUGUUGAUGAUGAGUUUCGUUUGUUCUCUGCAUCAAUUCAUCUCUGAAAUAGUCCAUUAUCAGAUGUUCUUCGUGGAUCCAAAUGUCAUCUCUUUCUUUGACUCGUUCCCAUAGCUCAGCUGCCUUCUCUUCAACCUCAUCAAUGUCAUCUUCAUCUUCUUCAAUCUCUGUGUCACAACUUUCAUCCUUGCAAGAUUCCUCACCCCAUUCUUCUAAAUUGAAAGGACUAAUGUUGGCCAAAUUCUCAAACCGUUGAAUCGUUUCCAUGAGCUUUUGUUUGGUUCCUGCCAAAAAAUAAUUACACACAGUGUGUUUUAAAACUUGAAAGUCCUAAAAUAACUAUAAGAAACGAACUUGCUUUGAUUGAAAUGAGGAAAAGUAAACGCACUUUCAACGUUAUCAAGGCAUUGACUGAAAGAAGAGUUUGAUGCUUCGUCAUCUUCCCCAAGUUGUAUCUCAAGAACGGAGACUGGACUGUUCUGCUCCUCUUCACACUGUAAGUCCUGGUCAUGAUCAUUGCAUAUUAGGCAAAAUCAUCCAACUAUUUGGCGGCGGCGGUGGUGAUCAGAGCACGAAAGGAUUGGCUACUCACGGUGGUCAGUACGUUCAGUACAAUGUCUACGGAAACAUCUUCGAAGUGACUAGAAAGUACGUUCCUCCUCUUCGCCCCAUCGGCAGAGGCGCUUACGGCAUCGUCUGGUCAGAGAUCUUCUUACUCUUCGAUCUGUGUGAUCUUCAUGGAUUUGAUUGAAUAAUUGAUUUUACUCUGUUUGGAUUAGGGUUUUGAUGGAGCUCACUUUUGAAAGUUAUUAUUAUUUUUUUUUUUUUAUCUCUGUGUUCAGUGCUGCUACAAACUCAGAGACGGGAGAGGAAGUAGCUAUCAAGAAGAUCGGUAACGCUUUUGACAACAUCAUCGACGCCAAGAGAACCUUGAGAGAGAUUAAGCUCCUCAAGCACAUGGAUCACGAGAAUGUAUAUAUAUCAUCUUUUGAAUCUCUUCUUGUUAUAGAUAGCUAUAUAUAUUGGUUUUCCAUCCUUUUUUUUUUUUUAAUGCGCAGGUUAUUGCUGUGAAGG
Molecule: long non-coding RNA, 3425 nt
Filed under: Brassica napus (rape)
Lineage: Eukaryota; Viridiplantae; Streptophyta; Magnoliopsida; Brassicales; Brassicaceae
Description: long non-coding RNA (BNAP_LNC013375)
Source: RNAcentral